AUUUUUCCAUUUCGAUUGCUUGUUUGUUAUAAAAAUUUCUUUGAUCAUUUUAUUUAUAUUUCGUGCUCUCUGAUCUGCAAAAACAUACAAUAGAUAGAUAAAUGGCAGAAAAGACAGAAACACACAUCCCAAUUGGUACCUUUUAAAAUGAAUGGUAACAAUUAUUAGAUAUAAUUAAGUACUGUUAAACUUUGCUAAGUACUGUUUUAUAAUCAAACUUUUAAAUACUAAUUAAACAGGUUAUUAAGUAAGCUGAUAAAUUGAUAAUAUAUUAUGUUGUCAAUGGAUUAAUUGUCCAGGCCAAGAAAGGAAAUUAAAAUAUAACUAAAGCUUUCAAGGACUUAGUUGUAUUAAUAAACAUUUCUAGAUGUAAUAUAAAUAUUUCAAACACUAUAAACACUUUGUGUAAAUUUUACAUUUUAAAUCAAUCAAAUUAAAAUACAUUUUAUAUUGUUUUCAAAAGUUAUUUUUUGUUUCAAUUUCUUCCCCAAAUCCCUCUCCUUUGGUAAUUCUCGGCCGUUCGCCGUGGACAUUGGAUGAAAAUCGUUCUAUAACAAUUUCAAUCUAUGGAGCAAACAGUUCACCAUUGUUGUUACCUCCACAAAGUUCAAAUCUCAUCAUUGUUGUGAUCUUUUUCGUCCUUCUCACUCCGUUUCCGACUGAAGUGAAGGACUGUUAGAAAUAUAUGACUACGAUGUAUUAUUAUCAAAUGUGAUUAUCCAAGUGAUGAGAUAUUUAUAUAUGAUGACAAUAUGCUUUAUUGAAAGUAAAUGACAAUACAGAUUUGUGAAGAUUGAACGAUUGCAGGAAUGAGAUGCUGGAGAUGAUGAAGACGAUUAAUGGAUCGGAUGAAUGAUCUCCAGAUGAAGAACAAGCUUGACUAGAUGAUUUGAAUUCCAGAUGACCGAUUGCAGAUUCCAGAGAACAGAUUGAAGAAGAUUGAGAUGGUGAUUUGGGACCAAGAACUUGAAUCCAAAACAUAGAGAUUGAGUUGUAAUGGUUCAUAUUUAUGGAGGUAAGGACCCAACGGCUAUGAGGGUUUAGGUGGGUUUGGUUGGUGUGAUUAAUUAUGGUAAUAAAUUGGAUUAGGAAAUGUGUAUAUUAGGGAGUAAUGUAUUAGGAAAUUAGGUGUAUAUUGGAAAUGAUGUUGUUAGCUAUUAAGUGGUAGGGUAUAUAUGUUUUACAGGGACUUGGAGGAUAAUUUCCAUAAUAAUUCUAAUAAGGGCAAGCAAGAGCAGGCUGAUAUCAUAAUGCCUCUUCUCACCUUGCAGACAAAACUGGGCGGAAGAAAAACUCGUGGAAUAGAUCAACAGUGUCGUGUUCUUCGAUCCUCGACACCUUCCUUCCUGAUCUGAUCCGAUCUUCUCACUCUCCUGAUUUUCUUUUCUAUCUCUUCCCAGCAAUCCUUUCCCCUCUUUCUCUUAAUCAGAGGUGCAUAUGCACAGCAUUUAGCAAGGUACUUAAUAGCCUAAAAUGGGUGGAUUUUAGAUUGUAAUUGUUUGAUAGAUUUCCAUCAAUGAUUAUUUGUUAUCAUCUUGGAUUCCUUACAAAGUUUAUUUCCAUAUACUGGAGCAAACUCAUCUUAUGGUUUGGUAAAAGAUAUAAUGUCCAUUAGGUCCAUUAUACUUUGUUCUUUCUAUCUACCACAAAUAUACAAUAAUGUCUCCUAGAUCUUCAAAAUUUAAUCUUAUUUAUCAAAAUAUACAAUAAGUAUAUUUGAAUUUAUUUCAAUGUUUAAAGUUUAAACACUGAUAAAAAUAUAGGAAGCAUUCCAGUGAGACAGUUGGGAUGUGAGAUAUUUCAGGCGACUGAUCACUCAUCUUAUGGCCUAAAAUCACAUAGCCCAAAUCUCGAAGAUCAGCAGAUAAUCAAUCACAUGGGUCGAAGUAGAUGGCUCAGAUCUACUAUCUCAUAGAUAUCUCACCUCAAUUACACUCACUGGAAUCUUGCCCUAAAAAUAUAAGGAAAACAAUAAUAUCUUAAUAUAAUCAUUAUAUGGUCUCUAUGUGCCUUAUGUUUAGUUAUGUAUGAUAAAUUUGCAGUCAAGUAAAGAUUAUUUUUUCUUCUGUAUUUUGUGUUUUCAGAUCGAUGAUAGUUUUUUUUAGUUCAUUGGAGAGAAUAUCUGCUCCUGAUUGGGAAAAAAUUGUACACAUUGGUGCAGGAUCUGAGCACUUUGCUUUAGUAACAAACAGGUGAUCAUUCACGUGAAGUAAAAUUUCACCCCAUUGUUAUAUGUUUGCUGAUUAUCUGAUUUCUGUGACUCUCAUUUUUCAACAAUAGAGAGUGGAGUGAUAAUGACUUGGGGUUUCUGUGAUUUCUGGCGAAUAUGGACAGCUUGGAUUGGGCAACAUUAAUGAUCAAACUAUACCACAAGUUGUCAGCCUAAACCAGAUGAAAACUUGUGCUGUUAAAGUCCACUGUUGUAGUGGAUUCACAUUUGCUCUUAAAAGACAUUGAAUUGACACAGCAAGAAAAUGUAUACUGUAGUUCUUUUUUUUUGUUAAGGGUACUUUUGGUAUUAAAUAAAAUAGAGUUUUUAAGCAGUUUAAUUUUAACACAUUUAAAACACAACGCUAAUUACCUUAUUGCCCGGUGGUUAGCUUCUGCCAACCUCCGACAUCGACCUUGUCAUGGAUGAGCAUGGCGAGGGCAUACCAUUGGAGCAAUGCCCUCACCUCCUUGUCAUUCCUGCACUUCUUCUUGUACCUUGAGUCAUCAAAUCCAAUUCCGGCCAUAUCGAUACUGCAUUUCACCACCUGUUGCUUUGUCUCAGUCAACGCUUUCAUUCUUCUUCAGUUCCUUUCCUUCCAGAGGAAGAAGAAGACGAUACCCAUCAUGGUCCACUGCAGCCUCCACGCUGGGGAUCCGACUGUGUUGAUAUCGUGCGCAGCAUCGUCGAGGGAUGUCCAGUCCUCUGUCUUUGCCAUUGCUCCAGCAGCUUCCAUCGCCUCCCUGUGAACCCAUUGCGAGAAUUCGCAGCCAAAGAACAGGUGAUUAAUUAAAUU
Molecule: long non-coding RNA, 3005 nt
Filed under: Zostera marina
Lineage: Eukaryota; Viridiplantae; Streptophyta; Magnoliopsida; Alismatales; Zosteraceae
Description: long non-coding RNA (ZMAR_LNC004397)
Source: RNAcentral